Cordylochernes scorpioides is the source of this 65-nucleotide non-coding RNA. The record is from the annotation of a GenBank genome assembly. NCBI's taxonomy places the organism in Eukaryota, Metazoa, Arthropoda, Arachnida, Pseudoscorpiones, Chernetidae.
CCAUCGGUGGUUCAGUGGUAGAAUGCUCGCCUGCCACGGCCCGGGUUCGAUUCCCGGCCGAUGCA